Molecule: ribosomal RNA, 502 nt
Filed under: uncultured bacterium
Lineage: Bacteria
Description: partial 16S ribosomal RNA
Rfam family: Bacterial small subunit ribosomal RNA
Source: RNAcentral
AUUGAACGCUGGCGGAAUGCUUUACACAUGCAAGUCGAACGGCAGCACGGGUGCUUGCACCUGGUGGCGAGUGGCGAACGGGUGAGUAAUACAUCGGAACGUACCCAGUCGUGGGGGAUAACGUAGCGAAAGUUACGCUAAUACCGCAUACGUCCUGAGGGAGAAAGCGGGGGACCGUAAGGCCUCGCGCGAUUGGAGCGGCCGAUGUCUGAUUAGCUAGUUGGUGAGGUAAAGGCUCACCAAGGCGACGAUCAGUAGCUGGUCUGAUAGGAUGAUCAGCCACACUGGAACUGAGACACGGUCCAGACUCCUACGGGAGGCAGCAGUGGGGAAUUUUGGACAAUGGGCGAAAGCCUGAUCCAGCCAUUCCGCGUGAGUGAAGAAGGCCUUCGGGUUGUAAAGCUCUUUCGGCAGGAACGAAACGCUCUAGAUUAAUACCCUGGGGUAAUGACGGUACCUGAAGAAGAAGCACCGGCUAACUACGUGCCAGCCGCCGCCGUAA